This is a non-coding RNA of Eurytemora carolleeae, 82 nucleotides long. NCBI's taxonomy places the organism in Eukaryota, Metazoa, Arthropoda, Copepoda, Calanoida, Temoridae. The record is from the annotation of a RefSeq genome assembly.
GCAACUGUGGCUAAGUGGUUAAGGCGUCUGACUCGAAGUCAGAUUCUCUUUGGGAGCGCAGGUUCGAAUCCUGCUGGUUGAG